ACAUGACUAUUUAUGAAUUUUUGGAAACCUUUUUUUUGUUGCUCUUGUCUUUAGGCUAAAUUGUACUUUAUCCAGUUUUUGGUUCCACUUUUACUUUUAUUGCUUGUGCUAAUGUGAAAACCAAAAUUGCUGUCUCAAUUACAGCCAUUUUACAAUGAAUGGGUUGAAAGGCUUGAAAUCUUGGAUAACUGUUAUUACUGUCCUUUUUUGUUCACAAUUUUUAACCUUUUUAUUUGUUAACAUGAUGAUUUUAACGUUAAUUUGACGGUCAAUUAUAUCAAGGUUUACUUGGUACAAUAAGUUUAGUGUAAAUGUAUUGGGAAAAUUUAUUUUAAUUUUGAAUCAUGACAGUUUGACUGUGUUUAAGGGUUUUGAGUUUAAUACAAACAAGAAAAAUAUAAUAGAAGAAGAAGAAAUGUUCACUUAAUAAACGCACCAUUAUUGUAUGUAUAUUGUAUUAGAUAAUCAAGAAUAGGACUAUUACCAUCAUCAGGAGCUUCCCAAACAAUGGUUAUAUCACGACUUGCUACUUCAACUGAUCUUAAAUUGCGCGGAGAUCGAGGUGGACCUUGGACAAUCAAAUGAACUGUUUUCUCAGCUUUACCAUAAGAGUUGCUGGCAGUACAAAUAAAUGUACCUGAAUCUUCUACAAGAGGGGAAUCUAGGGUUACAUGGGAUAUUACUCUGUUUCCAUUAACAUCUUGAUUAAUUUGAAAUCUCGAUGAUGAUAAAAAUGAAUGAUGUGAACUUGAAGGAAUCAAUUCUCGCCCAAUUUUCAUCCCAUUGACACCAUUGCUACCAAGAAUACCUGCUAAUCGUAGACAACCCGUCGUCGUAAACAUAAUCACCUUCAUCAGCUUCAGUGGAAUCAAUUAUAACCAGCGAACCAUUCUCUGAAACAUGGAUAUGAGGUCCACUGACGACACCAAUUAACUCAUUUGAAGCUGAAGAUUCCAAUCAGCCUGGCAAUUCAUCAAAACUUUUGAACCACGUAUAGUUGAAUAUCUUUCCAAUGGUUUUAAUAUCCAUUUAGGAGCAGCUAAAUACAAAGAAAAAAUAAAAAACGAGUGAAAAAUGAUGACAUAAAUUAACACCUCGGCUAAAGCUCAACACAUUUUGAGCGUUAUGAGAGCCCCCGAUCAUGACUGAUCUUCAGAAACUAUUAUUUGUAACGGAACUUUGGCCUUUUCAUUUCGCAGCUAAAAUUUGUUGAUAUUCAAUUCCCAAUACUUUAAUUUACUAUAUUUUACAAUUUAAAAUGUGUCAAAGGUAAAAUUAUACGCUCUUUGAAUAAUCUUUGAAAGACGCGCUAAUUGUUAAUUGGGUAGUUUUCCCUCGCUUUUUGUUGUCAUGGAUUUUUUUUGGUAAUGAAACAGUUAAUUAGUGUGAUAUUUUCAAGGUUUAACUUCUUAAUUUAUGAUUAUUAAUUAGACUUUAAUGGCACUGGUCAACUCAGGGCCGCUUUUCAGUUGAACCAUUUAAAAGCUAACUUCUGGUUAAAUAUUGGAGACUAUUGAGAUGUGACACUUGCACCCUGGGCUAAAUCACCUUCUUAAUGACUGAUUGUUAAAAAUUAAGGAACAAAGAAUCAAUCGUAUUGACGUUAUUAACGGAAUGGCUUUUCAUAGAAAAAUGGAAACUGAAAAAAGACAUGAAAUUGGUAGACAAAGCGGUCAACUUGAAUUCAUCAUUCAAUAAUAGCUACAUUGAGCAAAGUAAUUUAAUAACUCCAUCAUCAAAUGUUGAGAGCCAUCAUAUUAAUACAUAUAUAUGAAUGUUUUAAUAUAUGAAAAAUGGAAAGGAGGUAACCUGGAUAAAGGACCGAGUUCCAAUGACCAAGAGAGAGAUGAUCAAGAUAAAAGGAUGAAUCCAAUGGACGAGAGAGAAAAAAGAAAAUGUUGGCCAGUAAAAUGAUGAAAAUACAUAUUGAAAAAAGCAUAUCGAUGACAGGAAAGGGAAUGAAAAAAAAUGGAGAGAACCACAUAAAUGUGUAUAAGUAUAUGCGUAUGGAAAGGAUAUAAUGGCGGAGAAGACGAAGAAGAGACUUAUAAAUACUAUUAUCAUUACCAUUAUCAUCUUUAUCAUCAACUAUUAUUGUUAUUAUUAUAACAAUUAUUAUCAUUAUAAAUCAACAAUGAAAGAUAAAGCUUUAUAACAAGAAAAUCAACAAGAAAGAAAGAGUAAAGUCACCAAGAAAUAUGAAACGCUGCAAAGAAUAUGCAAAUCAUAAAUUUCAUCAACCAAUAUUAAUAGACAAUAUGUUGACCCAUUUUUUGCGGUUAAAAUUGUGAUGGAAAAUGAAAUGGUCAAUGUCAUGUUCACUUUAUUUAUCCCCUUUCUUUAUAUGGACCAUCAUCAAGAGCAACUUUCCACCCACAAUGGACUAACCAAAAGGAGAGAGAAAUAACGACUUUACCUAUUUGAUUGUUUGGAGAUGAAAAACAAGUGACCAAGUGAAAUGUUAAAGUUAAUGGUUAGGACCAGACAAACAAAAAGAUGAACCAGAAAGCAAAACAAAGUUGUAAUAUAUUGGGAAAAAAAACUGUUCGUUGGCUCUCACCGGAAUCUAAUCAAAGUGGGAGAUGCGAUAAUUGGACAUCAAUGAAUCAGGUUGAGGUUCAAAUGGAAAAACAAGAAUCUUUUCUUAAUGAGAAAGUAUUGAAGCAUCUCCUGGACAACUAGAUGUUAAUUAGAAGAUAUGAUGAUGAUGGUGGUGAUAACAAAAAUGAUGAUCUAGUGGUAAAAAUAGUAUAAAGGAGUGAAAAGAAGAAGAAAGCUCAAGCUAAAAAUUAUUCCACUUUUUUACCACUAUUAUCAUUAUUAUUGGUAUCAUUAUUGUUGAACAAUAUCAUCUUGAUUAAACGAUAAUAAUAAUAAUGAUGAUGAGGAAGAUAAAAAAAGACAUGCUUCAACUGUAAAGAUAGAGAGAGAGGUAACACAGAGCAUUGAGUUAGCCAAAAAAAAGUGAAAGGUUUAUCACAAUGUUUAGUAAAUGAAUAAACAAAAAUAUGAUAAAAGAGAGGCAACAAUAUCAGGAAAUAAUAUGCAAUCAAAUGCUCUGGAAACAUCAAAAUAUUCCGCUAAGUGAACUUCAAUAUUAUUAUUAUUAUUAUCAUAAAUAUUAAGAUGAAAUCCCUGUUAUUUUCCAUUCCUUUCUCACUCCCAAUGCCCCUCUUUACUUCAUCAUCAACAACAUCAUCAUGAUAAAAUAAUGCCCAAGAGGACGAACCCUUUUUUCAUCUUCAACAUCUUCUAACUCGUUUAUGCUUUUUAUUCCUACUCUUUUUUGUGCUCUGCUUCAUGUUCAUCUUGUUGAUGCAUAUGUCAUUAGAAACCUGGCCAAAAAAAAGUAGAGAAAGAAGUAGAAGGGGAGUAAAAACUGACCAUUGGUCAAUACAGUGAUUGGAGAAAGGGGUUAAAUCUCGAGGUUACAUGUAGAAAGUCUUAAGGCCAUCUGCUUUGCCUCUUUUUUUCUCUCUUCUCUUUCCCUUUUUACUUUCUUUUUUGCUUCAUCUCUUUAACUCUUUUUACUCUUCUCUCAUUAUCAUCUUCUUGUUCACUGCUUUUUUGCUCCUUUUUGCAUACAUUUUGUGUACAUUUUUUGUCCAUUUGCUGUGUGUGUUAUUAUUGUGAAACACACAUUUUACUUACACCAAACUGAUUACUGUUAUAGAAGCGUUAUUUUGAUGUUCUCGCUGUUUUUCAGUUGUUUAUUGUUGACAGAGAAAUGGUUCCUUUCUCUUCUCGUCUGUUAGUUGAUUGUAUUUUACACUUUUGUCAAUGUUUGGUGUCAAUUGUUGGUUUUUAAUUUGAACAAUUGGUUGGACGCCAAUUAUUAUUUGAGUUAACAUGAGUUGAUGAGAUCUAAUAACAAGCUUUCAUGAUAAUAAUUAUAAGGCAAGAAACAAUGAACAAGCAAAGAAAAAGGGUUAAAGAGGAAAGUGUUGAGGAAAAGCAAAAAAGAGAAGACAAAUUAACAAAAA
This is a non-coding RNA of Tetranychus urticae (two-spotted spider mite), 3983 nucleotides long. NCBI's taxonomy places the organism in Eukaryota, Metazoa, Arthropoda, Arachnida, Trombidiformes, Tetranychidae. The record is from RefSeq and is a predicted model, not a curated record.